UUGAACCAUGCAAUCGUGGUCAGUAACCUUCAACAGAGAAUUAGGUCAUGACUACAAGAAGACCACUAAAGAAAGCCACAAGUUCCUGACUAAGCAAAGAGAUCCGGAGUGAGCUGUAUCAGCUAGGGCACAUGUACAGACAGGCAUUAACACUGGAGGGACUUCAAGCACUUAUUCAAGUACAAACUGUCGUAAUAGUUAUAUAAUAUAGCUUCUUGUUGUUAAGUGAUUGUCUAUGGAUUCUAUUAUAACCGUGGUAACAUACGAAGUAGUAUGGAUUCUUUAAAGCAAUGCUAAUGUGUCUCAAAUUAUUCCUUCAAAUCCUCAGUUACGGUCUUUGAAGUAACCGUACAAAAA
Long non-coding RNA from Halichondria panicea, 357 nucleotides. RefSeq lists it as uncharacterized. NCBI's taxonomy places the organism in Eukaryota, Metazoa, Porifera, Demospongiae, Suberitida, Halichondriidae. The transcript is spliced from 2 exons. The record is from RefSeq and is a predicted model, not a curated record.